Molecule: ribosomal RNA, 581 nt
Filed under: uncultured bacterium
Lineage: Bacteria
Description: bacterial SSU rRNA
Rfam family: Bacterial small subunit ribosomal RNA
Source: RNAcentral
ACGGGGUAGUAAUGUGUCGGAACGUGCCCUCUGGACGGGGAUAGCGGCGGGAAACUGCCGGUAAUACCCGAUGAACUCGAGAGAGCAAAGGUGUGAUUCCGCCGGAGGAGCGGCCGACAUGGUAUUAGCUAGUUGGCGGGGUAACGGCCCACCAAGGCUGUGAUGCCUAGGGGAUGUGAGAGCAUGAUCCCCACCAUUGGGACUGAGACACUGCCCAGACACCUACGGGUGGCUGCAGUCGAGAAUCUUCGUCAAUGGGCGAAGGCCUGAACGAGCGACGCCGCGUGUGGGAUGAAGGCCUUUGGGUUGUAAACCACUGUCGAGGGGGAUGAAGGCAUUCAGGUCCUCCUGAAUGUUUGACAGAGCCCUGGAGGAAGCACGGGCUAAGUUCGUGCCAGCAGCCGCGGUAAUACGAACUGUGCGAACGUUAUUCGGAAUCACUGGGCUUACAGGGUGCGUAGGCGGCUUAGCAAGUCAGGUGUGAAAGCCCCCGGCUCAACCGGGGAACUGCGCUUGAAACUGCUGAGCUCGAGUCAGCUAGAGGUACACGGAACUUCCAGUGGAGCGGUGAAAUGUGUUGA